CCCAGCCUCUUGGCUGAGACUCCCCUUUCCGGAGAGUCCGGAGGGAGGUGGGGGCAGCUUGAGGUACGCCUCCCCUGCCCCUCCCCUCCCCUGAUAGAUCAAGGAGGAUCCUAGGUAUUCGGGAAUGGGGAGUGAGAUGUUCUGAUGUCAGCAGGACUGGGGCCUGCUGCAGCGAUGGCAUAUUUGCCAGGUGUGUCCAUGCAGACCAAGUGGAAAGCAUCUGAAAAGGGAUUGAGCAACAAACUUGACACAAUGUGGUGCUGUUUCACAGUCCUUGAGGUAGGACUUGCUACUCAUGCCUUUUGAAAGGUGUUUUAGGGGGCAACUGGAUGACUCAGUGGAUUGAGAGUCAGGCCUAGAGAUGGGAGGUCUUGGAUUUAAAUCUGACCUCAGAUACUUCCUAGCUGUGUGACCCUGGACAAGUCAUUUGACCUCCAUUGCCUAGCCCUUACCACUCUUCUGCCUUAGAACCAAUACACAGUAUGGAUUCUAAGAUGAAAGGUAAGAGUUCUUUAAAAAAUAAAUAAAUAAAAGGUGUUUAAAAAUUUAUGGAUGGAACCGAAAAAGUGAAUCUAUGACAGUCUUUUGGGGAUAGAGGAAUGUGGAAGAAACAAUCUUUGAAAAAUCAAUAACUAUGAGAUUCUGAUCUAUGGGAAUUGGGCUAGGACAGGAGAUGCCUGGUUGUCUUGUCCCCAUGUUAAGCAUUUGUUCAUUUACCUUUUUUUUAAGAUUUUAAAAUUUUAUUUUAUUUUUUAAAAUUGUAUUUAAUGAGAUGAUUUAGAAUAAUUUUCCAUGGUUACAAGACUCAUGUUCCUUCCCUCCCCUCCCCCACCCCUUCCAUAUAUGAUGCACAAUUCCACUGGAUUUAACAUGUGCCAUCAAUCAAGACCCAUUUCCUUAUUAUUAGUAUUUGCACUAGGGUGAUCUUUUAGAGUCCACUUUCCCAGUCAUAGCCCCACCGACCCAUGUAAACAAGCAGUUGUUUUUCUUCUGUGUUUCUACUUCCACAGUUUUUCCUCUGAAUGUGGAUAGUGGUUUUUCUCAUAGAAUCCUCCAAGUUCUUCAGGAUCACUGCAUUGCCACUAAGGGAGAAGUCCAUUACAUUGGAUUGUACCACAGUGUAUCAGUCUCUGUGUACAUUGUUUUCCUGGUUCUGCUCCUCUCGCUCUGCAUCACUUCCUGGAGGUUGUUCCAGUCUCCAUGGAAUUCCUCCAGUUCAUCAUUCCUUUCAGCACAAUAGGAUUCCAUCACCAACAGAUACCACAAUUUGUUCAGCCAUUCCCCAAUUGACGGGCAUCUCCUCAUUUUCCAGUUUUAUGCCACCACAAACUGUGAGGCUAUGAAUAUUCUUGUACAAGUCUUUUUCCUUAUUAUCUCUUUGGGGUUCAUUUACCUCUCUUAAGUCAUGAACCUAUCUCCAUUUUCCUAACUUUUUAGGGAUGAGGAAGACAGGUGUGUUCCAUGCACUAUUGGACUAUUUGAUAUGUCCCAAAUCUACCUGUUCUUGUAUUAAUUUAUUCAAAUGAUGGAGUUUCUCUCUAGAUAUAGGCCACCUGAUUGACCCACACUGGCUUGGAAUCAUUCCAAGUUAUUGGAUCUGCAAAUUUGGUUGUGGAGUCCAUUAUGGACCCUAAAAAUUUUAUUUGUGUCAAAUUGGAUGUGGUUAGUGUCAAAUUCAUUUCAGCUAAAACAUCUCUUCCCCAAAGAGAUUGUGGAAUAUCUAAGCUAUUAGGCUGAAAUAUCCCCUUGUGCCUUUCAUCAUCAGACCAUGCUAAUUCUCUGGAAGUUGUUGGCUUCCCUUGGGCACCUCAAUUUCAAUUAAUUGAUGCUGAGGUGAAAUAGUUUCCCAAGAUUCCGGCCAAUUUUUUAUAGAGAUUACAGAUAUGUCUGUGCCAGAAUCCAAAAUGCCUGUCAUAAUUUGAUUCUCUACAUAAAGAGACAAGAUUAAUGUCUUUUGUAAUUCUUUGUGUCCAAAAUAAAUUUGAAGUAUGUGCAUUAAAAUGCUCUGUUUACUUACUGCCUUCUGUAAUUAGGGGAGUAUUAGGCAGUAAAAGCAAAGUCGUUAAUUCCAUUCCUUUUGUGAUAGUGAAUGGGGAGAUAGCUUUAGCUAAGAUAUUUACUGUCCCUUCCAUCCGGUAGUCAAUAACCUGAGGAAAAAAUUCUAAUCCUUAUGCAAGCAAAUUGUUUUUACCUUACAAUAAUCCUGUAAACUCCUGAGAAAUCGAGAAGUCAAGGUUAGCAGGCAGGGAUGGUGCACAUUCCCAUUUGAACUGUAAUCACUGGAUCUAAAUUUGCCCCUGUAGAAACCUUGUUCUCAUUUUGAGUUGGGAAAGGAGUCAUGGCCAUUUCCAAUUUUCUAGGAGUGGCCUUUUUCUGCCUUGUGUUCUCCUGGGGCUUGAGGCCUGCCUGGAAAUUAGUUUUUUGGAAUCUGACUUGGAUCAGUUAUGUUCUAGUUAGGGAGUGCUCUGUAUCUGCGGUGAUGGCCAUAGAUUUCCUCUAUGACACUUUGGGUAUGGACCGAAAGGGGUUUUUUUUGUGGCUUGGGGCAAGACCUUCAGAAAUGGGCUGAUUGUUUGCAGGUGAAACAGGGACCAGUAGGUCGUUUAAAGUAUGCUGCUAGGAUAUUUUCAUGUUCCAGUGUGCCUAUAAGCUGGCAAGCCCUGAUGAAGUCUGAUACUGAACCUGCUGCCUUAAUGGGAGCCAGUGCCUUUUUGGAGUCCAAAUGAGAAUUUCUAUAGGCAAGCUCUUUUAAGAGAAUGUCUGUGGCUCCUUCAUGAGCAAUAUGGCAUGGCUGUGGACAGUCUGUCUACGAAAUCAGCGACCUUUUCUGGGGGCCUUUGCCUAAUAUCUGUAUAUGAAUUGGCCCCUUUUUCUUUUUCUGGCAAAGAUUGCCACACCCUUUUUGCUGCUAAGGCAACUUGAUUAUAAAUCUGCUCUUUAUAUAAUAUUUGCCUUUCAAGGAUUCCAAAUUCUCCUUCUCCUACCAACUGACCAUAAGAAAUCCAGCCUGUCUGUUCACUCUAGCGUGUUCUUUACAUAAAUCUUGACAUUUUAAUUUCCAAUUUAAAUAGUCGCCCCCAUUAAGCAUAGACUGCUAAAACAUGGCAGUCAUCUGGUAUAAGAAAGUGCUGACUGCUGUUUCUGAUCAGUGCCAUGGGGAAGGGAGCUGUAUUCUCAUUCUGUACUACGCCAUCUCUGAGAGCUUUAAGGGUCUUGAAUUUGAAAUUUCUGUGCUCUGCCAGUUGUUCAUUUGGGUUCUGAUGAUUAUCUCUUCUUAGCUUUCCAGGAAAUGCUAGGAAUUUGGCUCUGUCCUCUGGUGGUACUCUCUCUAUCACCUGUCUGACUGUGACUACUUGGGUGCUUUGGGUGGUGGAGGCUGGCGAGGAGGGUGAGGCUGAAUAUUAGAGGAGUGAAUAUCAGAGUGGAGUGGAGGUGUGGAAGGAACCGGCGUAGCAGGUACCUGAGUAGGGGAAAGUAUGGAUGGCUGUGGCCGGGAAGCCAUAGCCACAGCUGGGACAGGAUUUGGUGUUGAUAGAGAAGAGUAAAAGGUGCUGGAAGGAGAGAGUGAAGCUGAGCAGCAGGGGCUGGGGGAGGAGGAGUAAAGGCAGCUUCAGCAGCAGCAUCUCAGGGAAUAGCCAUGGAGGGACUAGGAAAGCUAGGAGGAGUUGGGUGAAGUACGUUAGGGGAAGGCGCCGGUGGAGCCGUAGCUGCAAUGUUCACAAGCACAGCUGGGGGAAGCCUAGGUAGUGGAGAAAGAAGGGUUGGGUGUAGGACUAAAUGGUGGGCUGGAUGAGUUGGAAAAUUCUAAUAAGGGGGCAGGUUGAUCCAUGGAAUUCUGGAUUGGCUCUUCUGCUAAUGCCAUUCAUACAAUUUUCCACCUGUUCCAAAUUGCCUGGGAUAAUUUUUGUACCUUUUCCUGACUUGGUUUCAUUUUCUGACCUACUUGAUCCCAUUCCUGGGAAGUAAGGACCCCUUUUGGUGGAAAUUCAGGAUAACAUUCUAAUGUAACCUUAAGUAACGCUUGGAGCUUACCUUCUGAAAUCUUGAUUCUUUGACUAAGUACUAGAGACUUUAACAGCCUCAUAUAACAGGCGUGGGAAGACAGUUUUUGACCCAUAAUCCAGACUUUAACUCAUACUGCACAGCGUGCAGGUCUUCUGUUGAGUCUCCAACCUUGAUCCAUAUAGUCCAACUGGUGCUUGAAGAUCGUGGGGCACCAAAAUGUGACUGCCAGCAGCCACAAAUUAAUAUCUUCAUGGGUGAACUCUCAGAAGGGAAGUUGAAGACUGAGGGAGUAUGGGUGAUGAGAGAAAAGGAGAGGGGAAACCAUCAAGGAAGAAAGACUCAGAGCUUAAGGAUUCAACAGCCUGGGCUCCAGCUUGCAGUGCUCCUCUGAAGAUAGAGGAACACAAUGAAGAAAGACUCAGAGACAAGGGAAUAGUAGCCAAAAAGUAGGCCUUACAGCCAGUAGGCUCUGAGUGGAAUAGAGCUCUGGUGUUGAAGAGCUUUGGCUGUCAAGAGCUUCCUGGUGUUUGGGCAUACUCAUUUUUAUUAGGGUUACAAAAAGGAAGGGGGGAAGGAACAAGGGUGGUCUGAUGACAAUUUAGGUAUUCAUCACAAGCUGCACUCUGCCGGAUCCUAAGACAAUAGGUGUAGCUAAUGCUCCAAAUCAAGAGUACAUGUGACCUAAGGCAUCUAAGCUUGUUUGAUACAUAGGUUAAUUCAUUGUUAUUGGCAAAAGGAGAGACUGAGAUAUGCAGCCUGACUUCAGGCUCAGGGAUGAGUUAGGAACUUGACAUGGUUGAGGUUUAAUUUAACUCAAGAUUAUAGAAACCGAUCAUUAAAAAUAUCUUUUUGAGAACCCCUAAAAUAUUAUCAAGAUUAGUGUCUACCUGGACUCCUUCAUGAGUCCUUUGGAGGUGUCUUGGAUCCUUGCAUUGCUGAUAAGUUAAGUAAUUUAUAAUUCAUCCUACAAUAUUACUAUUUCUGUGUACAAUGUCCUCCUGGUUCUGCUCACUUCAUUUUGUAUCAGUUCAUAGAAGUCUUUCCUGGUUUUUCUGAAGUAGUUCUGUUCAUCAUUUCUUAUGGCACAAUAGUUACACUAUAAUCGUAUAACACAACUUAUUUAUUCAUUCCCUAGUUGAUGGACAUUCCAAGAGUUGCUAUAAAUAUUCUCGUAUAAAUGUCCUCUUACUCUUUCUUUUGUCUUUUUGGGAUAAAAACCUAUAAUUGGGAUUGCUGGGUCAAAGGAUAUUUAUACUUCUAUAGCCCUUUGAUUGUGUUUCUGAAUUGUUCUCCAGAAUGGUUCAGUCAGUUCACAGUUCCACCAACAAUAUAUUACUGUCCCAAUUUUCUCACAUCUCUUCUAACACUUAUCAUUUUUCUUGAAGAAUUCUACUCAGUUUUGCUGAGUAGCUUAUUCUUUGUUGUAAUCCUUUUUCAUCUACCUUGCAGAAUAUUAUAUUGCGAGGCUUCUGCUGCUUUGGUGUGGUAAUUGCUAGAUGUUUUGUGAUCCAAAAUUUAGCUUCAUAGUAUUUGAAUGGUUUCUUGUUGCUUAAUAUAUUUCCUCUUUGACCUGGGAACUGUGGAAUUUGUCUAUAAUACUCCUGGUCUUCAUUUUGAGAUUUCUUUUUAGGAGUGAUUGGUGAAUUUUUAAAAUUUCUAUUUGACUGUCUGGUUUGUGGAUCUCAAAGCAGUUUUCCUUGAUAAUCUCUUGAAAAAUGAUGGAUAGUCUCUUUCUUUGAUCGGAACAUUAAGACAAUUCAAAAUCUCUUUUUUCCAGUCAAGGUUUUUACAUAUGUAUAUUAUAAAUACAGAAAUAAAACACGCAACCAAACAAAAUCUAUACAUAAGUAUAUAAAACUGUAUAUUCUCGUGUAUAUAUUUUGGUUCCAGUCUUUGAUUUCAUCGGUAUAUGGAAGCCUUGGUAUGAAAACGAUUUCAUUGAUAUAAAUCAAAAGCUUAUAAAAAAAGUUAAAUGAUUUCCCUUCUGAGUCUCAUAGCUAAUGUGAUCCUCUUUUUUAAAAAUUUAUUUUUUAAAGUUUAGUUAAAGUUCCAAGGUCUCUUCCCCUCCUUGCCUCACGUGUUUAACAAAAAAAUACGUAUCUGUGUAAAAACAAAUGGUACUAUUUGUGUAUAUACACAUCUCUAUAACUAUGUCAUGCAUGUUUCUCCAAAAAAAAUAUUUUUGUUGCAGCAUAUAAUAUAGUCUUGGUUCUGCUCUUCUAAAUUACAUGUAGGUCUUUCCAUUGUUUUUAGCCUUUACAUUCUGUCUUAAUAUUCUGUUAACUUGUAAAGAACAGAACUAUCAAAGUAGUCAGAAAAACCACUCUUUAAUCAGGAAUAGGGAUGGGUUCAAUAUUUUGGCCACCAAACAGAGCUUGCACCCUGCGGACUCUGGGAACCAUAUCCCUGGGAGAAGGCACCCUGCUGAAUGCCAGCUUCAAUGCCAGCUCCGCCCUGAGAGAAACCACUGUGCUAAGUGCUGACUCCCCCUAAGAGGGUCAGAACGGGGGGUGGGGUGGUCCCUUUAUACCCUUUGAGGCAUUAGGUACAGCAAACAUGCAGGGACAAAAGCAAAUGAUAAAAAAAAGAGUAUUAGUAGCCAGCCUCAGACAAGAGUUUAGCUAUAACCUGACUUCAGAGAGAACUUUAAAAUAAUAAUGGAAGCUUCUAAAUCAAAUAAAAGGCACUUAACAUUUAUACUAUGUCCACAAAACCCACCCACUAAGGUCCCCAAACAGUUUAGGUCUUUAGUUCAAAGCAAAACAAGUGUGCCUGGCACUGGGGUUUCUUAAGGGGUAAACUGAGGCAUCCGAAUUUCAUGUUGACAAUUGUAACAAAUGAAAUUCUCUGGAGGCUAUAUAUAUUUAAUUUUAAAAAUUAGUUUUAAAAAUAUAUCACUCAAAGAAAUCUAAUUAGCCAGUGGAUUCCCUAAAUAGUCCAAACAGAUGCUAAAUAAUGUGAGCACAGCAAAAACAAUCAAACAAAUAAAUAAAUGAAUGAAUGAAUGAAUGAAUGAAUGAAUGAAUAAAUAAAUAAAUAAAUAAAUAAAUAAAUAAAGCCCAAGAGAGACAUAAGAAUAAGCUUCCAAUGUAGUGGACUUUACCACUAGCAGCAAUGCAGUGAUCCAGGUCAGUCUGGAGGGACUUAUGGGAAAGAACGCUAUCCACAUCCAGAGAAAGAACUGUGGGAGCAGAAAGGCAAAAGCAAAACUUAUGACAUGACUUGUUUUUAUGAGUAUAUGAUUUGGGGUUUCGGCUUUAAAAGAUUGCUCUGUGGUAAAAAUGAAUAAUGUGGAAAUAGGUAUCAAGUAUGUUAACUUGGAAAUAACACAGAACUACCGAAGUAUUCAGAAAAACCACUGUUUAAUCAGGAUAGGGAUAUGUUCAGUAUUUGGCCCUUUACUCAGAGUCUGGCACCACAACUUUUACAGGGUUUACACCCUGGACUCUGGGGACAUUAUCCCUGGGAGGGCCACCAUGCCAGAUGACAAGGACAAGCUUUGGGGUCUCCAACUUACAAGCUGGUCCUAAAACUUGGGGUUCAUCAGAUAUUACUAGGCUACAAGUUUGGGGUCUCUAGAUUCCAUGUUGACCCCCCCCCCCGUUUUGUUUGAUGCCGAAACACCACUGACCAAACAGACAAAUGGGUGAUACUAUAUAGGGUUGACUCUGUCACUAAUGGUGGGAAAUCUUGGGGUACACUUAUGGGCAGCUGGCAUUUGGGGGCCUCCCCAAAUAUCCAUGCAUUGACAUUUGAGCCAGAAAGGCAGGCAGUCUGUCUGCCUUUGGCAGAAUUUUAAAAACAUGACCCCAUUUCCCCAAUGUCUUUAGUUCUCUCAAAUCUGAUGGGGCUUGAUGUAUGUAAUGCCUUUGGCCUCCUCUUUCCUGUGGAGUUCUCCUUUUGUACAGCCAGCUUUAUUGCUGCAAGAGAAAACAACAGAAAUCCAUAAACACAUUCUCUAACAGGACUCGAUCAACUCCCAAUAUACUUACUCACUAUAAAGAUUAUCCACGCUGCUAACCAAUUCUAUUCAUGUCUAUUCUACACCAAUUAUAAAAUUAUCUUAGCUACAGGCUUAAUCAGAAAGAUUGCCUUCCUCUACCAUACUAACCAUAUAAAAAGCAACCCUACAAACUAUAGAAAUAUAAAAGCAAAAACUAAAAUCCACAUCACAGGUUAAUCGGGGCUCGUAAAUCUGAAAAGUGGCCCUUUCCCCUGUUCUGUGGCCAAAAAUUAAAAUAUCAUCUGAUACCAAGUCAAAUUCUAAUUGAAUAUUCUAUUCCCCAAAUCCCAAAAUCAUAUUCAAAAACUGCAUGACAAUUUCAAAACAAUUUUAAAAGUCUCCAAAUUAAAAUUAACUCCCCAAAUUCUCAAGAUAAAAAAUGCUUCUGGCUUUCCUUAAUUUUAAACCUCUCGCACACACACCCCUUUGGGGCGGUUGAGAUGCUAGGGAUUUUAAAAGCUGUUUUCAUUCACCUUUAACUACUCCACAACUGUAAUCAUGCUUUACUAGCUUAGACUUUUUACUCCUGUUAACUGUCACUUUGUAUGAAAGAAAUAAUUUUGCAAUCGAGUCAGCCAAUGCUGUCAAUAAAAAUUAUUGUGAAAAUAAUCCUCUUGUUGUGGCAAUAUCACAGGAUCUCCUGAUUUAACUGAGCUCUAGUCUUACUAAAUUAGUUUUGAGUGCACUUUUCAAUUUCCUGAGUAUCUAUCUAUUCAUUGGCAAUAUAGUGACUCUUCUAAGCCUCCCAGUAUGUCACACCGUCCUUUAGAGGAUCAACUCAGGACCUUCAGCUUUCCAGACUGACACACUGCCUACUCUGCCAGUCACUCAGCUUGGGCUUAGUCCCCAUCUGAAGUGGAUUGUUAAGCCAAUGAAUAGAUACUCAGGAAGUUGAAAUGUGUACCCCAAACUGAUUUAAUUAAGACGAGAACUCUGCCAAAUCAGGAGUAGUUUAACAAUAAUUUUUAUCCAUAAAAUGUUGACUGGGAAAAAACACAGAACUAUUAAAUAGUCAAAAUCACUCUUUAAUCAAGGGCAAAGGGGGUUCAAUGUAAUAGUAGGCCUUGAUGCAGAGCUACAUGCCACACAUGACUGCACAGUCCCAGGAUUGAACUCUGGCCAUUCUCAUCACUGACCUCUGGGAGGGCCACCGCACUAGAUGAUGACUCCUGGCAACAAAAGAAUUUGGGGAACCUGUAGACCAUUUGGGGAGACCAGGGGCAGGGAAAGAUGACUGACAAAAUUAUAGCUACAAAGAAAAUGGGAGUGUUAAAACUACAUUGACAGGAUACAACCAAGCCUAGGAAAGGAAUCAUAGCUAGAGGCUGGUAUGUGAGGGAAGGGGCUGCUUACAGGGGAUACUAAAUGGGUGGUCCCUGCUUGGGAAAGGGUCUCUGAUACAAUAGGGGAGAUUAACUAAGACAAAGAGGGUCCUUAGCAUCUGCUUAGUCCCACCCAACUAGGAUUGUCAUUCCCCUGAGGGUCUUCCACUCAGUCUGAAACUGCCAGCCUGGGAUUCCCUUCAGGGUGACAAGGAACAAGCACAAACUUUGGGGUCUCUAACCUACAAGCUAGUCCUGAAACCGGAUGUUCACCAGAUCCCAUUAGGCCACAAGUUUGGGGUUCCUAGAUUCCAGGUUGACAUGGUCAUGUGCCAAUUGUUAUGGGGGUGCAGAUGUGUACCCCUGGGGUUCGGGAAGGAUACCUUUUGCAAGAAGGCAAGACUCCAAAACUUAGCUUAAAAAAAAGAGAAAUUUAUUAAUUUAGGAGGUAAUGUUGAGAAUGGCCAGGAGGAUAGCUAGGUGGAACAGCAAGAUGGGGAACAGUUCCUUGGGAGGACAGCAUGAAUGGAAAGGCUGUUCCCCCAGACGACGUCAGUUCUGGGGAUUUUAUACUUUCCACAACAGAGAGUGCUAGUCACCCAGGCAUCUAGCGAGAUGGGGUGAUCAUCCUCAGGCCUGGGGACAUAAAGAUUCCCUAGUUUUUAGGGAACAAACAGAUGUCUGAUAGGAUCUAGUUGUAGCCUGGAGGUGCAUCUUUCUGUCCAUCUUAAAUCUAGAGGACGAUCAAGGGAAGAUAGUCAUCUCAGGACCCUAGAGGGGUCAUUGGGUGUUUUUAGGCUCAGAGUCACGAGGAUGUAAGGGAGCAAGAGAGUUUUCCCUGAUAAUAGUUUGCUUGGGUUUUGGGGGUACAGUGCCCAUGUCACCAGUGAUUAUUUACCAAGGGAAAAGGAUGUUAAAAAAUGGGUGCUAAUUCAGGCCAAUCUUCUCUACUUAAAAAGGAAAGGGAAAAAUUAAAGGUAACUUACUAUAAAAAAUAACCAUCAGGAUUCUCUAGUCUUUUUAAGAAAACAAAAACUUAUCUAUUGUAAUGGUUGCACCCUAGAAACUUACCUUAAAAAUUCCAAAAAUCAGGUCCUUUUACUUUUUCAAGAACUAAAACCCAUAACAUUUUGUCUGCAAACACAAAACUUAGGAUUACUAAGGAAAAGCUUAAAAAUUAUCUUUAAAUCAGAAUACCUAUUCAAAUCCCUUCUUUCCCUCUUAUUUUUUUAGUCAUGGCUCAAAAAUUGCAUUUCUUUCAGCUGGGCCCUAUACCUCUCUCUUUUGUCUAAGGCAAAAAUGGCUAAGAGAAAAUUUGUUGGGUCAAUUUAAAAGUGUUCAGGGUCAGAGGCACUGAGGCCACAGGCUAGAGGCCUGGGGUUCUCUCUGCUUCAGGGGUGCUUCCUACACACCCAACAGUCAGGGGAAUCUGCUUUGGUUACUGUUUCCCUAAGCUGAAUCAGAAUUAUCUGCCCAGCUGGCUGGGCAUGCAUGAUUAAAAAACAGGAAAAGACAGAAAAUGUAAGAAAAGGGAUAGUCAUGGCUAAAGCAAGAAAGAUUUACAAUAACAAGGAGGAAGGGGGAAGGGAACUACUUACUCUAGAGUGUCCUUAGGUUGUUGUUGUUGUUGUUGUUGUUGUUGUUUUCAGAAAAGGAAUUUGAGAUCUUCCACUGGCUCACAGGAAUAAGUGGCUUCUGUUCCCCCUUCACCACCUGUUUCUGGAGGGAUAAAGGGUUUAAUACAAGAGACAUGAGUCCUGCCCCUCUCAUUUUACAGCUGUGGGGGUGGAUAAAAUGACUCUAUGGGGCCCUUCCCAUCGAGGUGUUAGCUGGUUUGAUCCAGUCCACUUUUUCAGGUAUACCAAAUCUCCUGUUCUGACUGGGUGGAGGGAUUCCUCCUUAUCCCCUCUUGAGGAUUUGGGAAGGAUAUGAUUAGGGUAUUCUCUCAGAACCUGGUGGAUCAGACUGAAAUGCUUAGAAAUCCUAACAAGGCUGUGGAUUUCUGUAUCUAAAAGGACAUUAGAGAUUAGAAAAGGUCUCCCAUAUAACAGUUCAAAUGGGCUCAGCCCCAAGGCAGCCUGAGGAGCCAUCCUGAUUCUGGUCAGGGCAAUUGGGAGAGCUUGGACCCAGUCAAUCUUUGCCUCCUCACAUAGUUUGGUGAGGGCUCUUUUUAGGGUCUGAUUCAUACAUUCUGUUUUUCCCGAAGAUUGGGGAUGCCAGGCUGAGUGUAAAUGAUAAGUGAUGCCCAAUGCCUUGGAAACCAUCUGUGUGAUUUGUGAAAUAAAGUCAAGACCAUCUCUUUGGAACAUUUUUGGAAGGCCAGAUCUGGGAAUAAUUUCAUUAAGUAAGGCCUUUGUGACAUCUUGUGCUUUCUCUGAUCUUGAAGGGAAUGCUUCAGGCCAACCUGUAAAAGUGUCAACAAAGACUAAUCUUGUACCUUUUGCAAGGUGGUAGGUGGGUGCAAUCUAUCUGCCAAUCCUCACCUGGUGAUUCCCCUCUCCUUUGGAUGGGCUUAAGAGCUCCAGUGCUGUUGGUUUGGGCCCAGAGGGCACAGGAUCCAAAGAUCUAUCGGAUGGUUUUAGAGAUGCCUUUGCCUAUGAAAAGUGGCUUUAUCAAAACAGUUAAUGCUUCUCUGCCCAAAUGUGUGGGGUUAUAUAACCCCAUAACCAAUUUCCAUAUUAAGUUCUUUGGGAGGAGCAGUGGUCCAGAGGGAGAACACCACCACCUGGUGUCUUCAAGGGUAAAUCCCUGAAGUUCUGCCUGUUCAGUUUCCUCCUUAAGGUCUCAAGAAGAUGCCAAGGUAUCCUUUUCUCCUUGCCCCUUGGCUGGACCAUCAUGCUUUCCCACUUGGUGGCCAGAGCUAACUGACUUCAUUACCUAAGAUGCUCUCUAAGAGAAUUCUUGUUUAUAGAUAAAGAGCCAGUCUUUACCCAGCCUCUAGGUGUCCUUAACCCCUUAUCCUCAACAAAGACCAAAAGAUGUAGACAAAAGAGAGAAGGACCAACCCAUUUUCAUAGCCUCAGGGAGGGCCAAGAGGGGAAACCAUUUCAAAAUUCAGUACCACAACUCUAUAUUCAUUUUCCACAAUAUCGAUUCUGAGAUAGAAGAAUGGCAAGGGCUAGGCAGUUGGGAUUAUAUGAUUUACCCAGGGUUACACAGCUAGGCAGUGCCUGAAGCCAGAUUUGAAUCCAGGUCCUCAGGGCUCUAUGGUGCUCUAUGCACUUGGGUUACCUAGCUACCCUGAUUUUUAAAAUUUAUUAAAAAACAAGCAAACCCUAUCUUCUCUCUUAAAAUAGAUACUGAGUGUUAUUCCAAGGCAAAAGAGCAGUAGGGGCCAGGCAAUUCGGGUUAAGUUGUUAUAGCAGAAUGGCUAAGGAAAACACACUGAUCUCAGAAUUCUGGAAGAGAGCAUGGACUUAGGUGAAAUAGUUUCCAAAAUCUAAGCAAGAAAAACAGAGUUUCUAUAGGUUUUCUCUAUGUGCAGAGGCUAUGGAUGAGGGACCAGGGGAGGGGUAAAACAAACAGGUCUUGGGAGCCCUUGACUGAAGCCAGCUGGUGUCUGUUGCUAAUAUCUUGUGAGGUAGCCAAGAUUGAACAGGCAGGCAUGCCAAGGACAUACCAAGACUUGCCAGAAAGGAGGGGCUUGGGGGAUAUGCAUGAUAGGUUAGCAAGAGUCAGCUAAUUGUAGGUGAUUUAUUGGGAAGAGGAGAGGGAAGAGCAAGGAGGGGACUCAGUCAGCAAAAACUAGUUAAUUAAAAGUGAUGGAUUAUUUUGUAGCCGGAAGUGAGGUUUGCAGUCCUGAGACUGCUUCUACUAAGUGACUUGCCCUGGGUUACACAGCUAGGAAGUGUGUAAGGGCAGAUUUGAACCUAUAAUAUUGUCAACAUGGAAUCUAGGAACCCCAAACUUGUGGCCUAGUGAGAUCUGGUGAACCCCAGGUUUCAGGACUAGCUUGUAGGUUGGAGACCCCAAAACUUGUCCUUGUUCCCUGUUCCCCUGAGAAUCUCCCCUGAAGGGAAUCCCAGGCUGGCAGUUUAAGACUGAGUGGGAGACCCUCAGGAGAAUGACAAUCCUAGUUGGGUGGGACUAAGCAGAUGCUAAGGACCCUCUUUGUUUUAGGUAGUCUCCCCAAUUGUAUCAGACCCUUUCCCAAGAAGAUUCACACCUGGGCAGGAAGCAUCCUUUAGUAUCCAUGGUAGGCAGCCCCUUACCUCAUAUCCCAGCCUCUAGCCAUGAUUCCUUUCCCAGGCUUGGUUCUAUCCUGUUGGUGUAGUUUGAACCCUCCCAUUUCCUUUGUAGCUACAGUGAGGUCAUUUAUCUUUCCCUGCCCCUGGACUCCCCAAGUGGUCUAGAGGUUCCCCAAAUUCUUUUGUUCCUGGGAGUUGUCAUCUAGUAUGGUGGCACUCUCAGGGGUCAGUGACCAGAGCAGUCAGAGUUCAAUCCCUGGACUCUGUGCAGUCCUGUGUGGUGCGCAGCUCUGGGUGGAGGCCUUCUAUUACAUUGAACCCCUUUCCCUUGAUUAAAGAGUGAUUUUGACUAUUUAAUAGUUCUGUGUUUUUUCCCAGUCAACAACCUCCAAUCUCUCGGCCUGAUGCUCUAUCCAUUGAGCCACCUAGCUACUCCAUGUUUUAAAAAAUUAACCAGCCUAUCAUUUCUUAUUACAUAUACUUAGUAUUCUAUUACAAUCAUAUCCCAGAACUUGUUUAGCUAUUCCCCAACUGAUGAGUAUCCCCUCAAUCUCCAGUUCUUUGCCACAAUGAGAGUUGUUAUGUACAUAUAGGUUUUUUUUUCUUUUCCUGAUCACCGUGGAAAACAGACUUAAAGGUGGGAUUGCUGCGUCAAAGGGCAUACAUAAUUUUAUAACUCUUUGGACGUAAUUUCAGAUUGCUCUCCAAAAUGACUGGGUCAAUUCACACUUAACACAAACAGUGUGUAACAUUUGUCAUUAUGCCUUUUUAUCAUUUUAGCUAAUCUGAUAGGUGAGAUGUGAUAUCUCAGCAUUGUUUGGAUGUGCAUUUCUCUAAUUAGGAAUAAUUUAGAGCAUUUUUAUAUGACUAUAUAAUAUAUAGAUUCUAUUUCUUGUUCUAAAAACUGUUCAUAUCCUUUGACCAUUUAUUAAUCGUGUAAGGGGUAAGUUUAGGGGUUUUUGACUAAUAUAUUAUCCUUAUGGUUGCCAGGGAUUAAUUCAAAUCCCAAUAAAAAUACUCAAGUCAGUUUGGGAAUUUUAUGGUGGUUUAAUUAAUAUAGAGAGAAGGAAUUAAGAAGAAGAGAGAGGGGAAAGGGUAUAAGAUUUCUCUGGCCUAGCCUAAGCCAAGGGGUAUUCAGAGAGCUCAGGCAUGAGGCCUCCUCAGAAGACUAAAACUAGCUCUGCUUCCUAAGAGGAUAAUGUUUUUGGAAAGGUAAAGGAAAAUGGAAUCAGCCUAAACUCCGAGAGAGCUCAGAUGCCUCACCUUUACCCUGCUACUGAGCUUCUCCCAGGACUGUAUCAAGGACGCUUACCACCAAACCCAGACAAUAGCUGCAGCCAUGCCAAGACGCCUCCUCUGCCCAACUAGAGCCAUAGCCACCUCUCCAAGAAAAGAGCCUGGGAGAGAGGAAGUGACGCGAAAUAUAUAGACCAUUUUUUACAUCACUUCCUGUGUCUCACGUGUAACAAUGGUAGCUUAAGCUCGACUUAAGACAGCCCAGGAGUCUGUCAGUUGUUUCUGAUUUGUCAUUUGCUAGCACAUCUGUCAUAGGCCAUCCUCCUAAAUACUUAAUCCUUAAAUAGGGGUGUAGACAUUCCUGUUUGUUAGACUAGGCAGAGUGGAGUAAAUCUUAAAAUUCACAAUUGGGGAAUAACUAAUUCUUAUAAAUUUGACAAGUUUCUCUAUAUAUUUGGGAUAUGAGACCUCUAUCCAAGAAACUAUAACAUUCCCCUCAGUUUUCUGCUUUCCUUCUAAUUGGAUGUCUUAAUUUUAUUUAUGGUAAGCCUUUUUAUUUUAAAGUAAUCCAAAUUUAUUUUACAUCUCAUAUUGAUCUUUAUAGCUUGUUUAUUUGUAAAUUCUUCUAUCCAUAAAUCUGAUCUGAUCUAAUUUGCUUAUGAUAUCUCCCUUUAUGUGUAGGUCAUGUAUGCAUUUGGUCCAUAUCCUGGUAAAUGUACACUUUUGCGCUAUACCUAGUUUCGACCAGACUGUUUUCCAGUUUUUUGACAAUUUUUACCAAAAAGUGAAUUCUUAUCCACAAAGCUUAGAUCUUUUUAUUUGUCAUACACAAGGUUGCUAUUUCCUGCAUGUCUGUUCUGUUCCACCGAUUUCUGUUUCUUAGCCAGUUCCAGAUGGUUCUGAUGAUUACUGCUUUAUGAUAGUUUAAAAUAUGAUACUGCUAGACUUCCCUCCUUUAUAUGUUUUUCAUUAAUAACUUUAAUAUUCAUGAUAUUUGUUCUUUCAAAUGAAUUUUCUCAUUUUUUUCUGAUCUUACUAAAAUAAGUUUUUGGUAAUUUAAUUGGGUAAAUGAACAAGUAAAGUGGUUUAGGUAGGGUUGUUUGGCUCUGCCUACUUGAAUUCAUAUUUUUCCAAUUAUUUAAAUCUCCCAGGGAUAUACAGCUAUGAAGUAUCUGAGGCCACAUUUGAACCUAGGACCUCCCAUCUCUAGGCCUGGCUUUCAAUCCACUGAGCCACCCAGCUACCUGCCUCAACUAACUUUUUAAUUGUGUCUUUAGGAUUUUCCACAUGUACCAUGUACCAUGUUGCGGGAGAGCUUUAUGCUAAAAACCCAAGGUUUGUGACAGGUUAUCCUUUGCAUGAAUGCAGGACUCCAAAACUUAGCUUAGAAAUAAAAAGAGAAAAUUAUUAAUUUAGAAGUCAUGUUGAAAUGGCCGGGAGACAGUGUGCAGGUAGAGCACUGCCUCACAGAGGAGAUGGGGUUUGGGGAUUUUAUGCCCCUUUCACAGCAGGGGUUACAGGAUAAGGGAAAGGGAGAUGGGGUGAAUCAGGAAUGAGGUUAUUUCAUUGAGACCUAGGGGAAAGCCCAAAAGGUGGUGGUGGUGGGGGAGGAUGCUCCUAGAAGGGAAUUUUUCAUGUCCCCUUGGACUUAGAACACUUCUGGAGUUUGGGGUGUCUAGGGAAGUCUGUACCGCCAUAUCAAUAUCAUUUGCAAAAAGAGAUCGUUUUAUUACCUCUUUGUCUAUUAGAAAUCCAUUAAAUUUCUUUCUCCCUUUCCUUCUUCAUUCCUGAAAUGGCAAACAAUCUGAUAUAGAUUUUAUAUGUGUAAUAAUGUAAAACAUCUUUCCAUAUUACUCUAACUUUUUCUAAGCCACUUAUUCUUUAUGAUUAAGCUAUUUAGACUCCAGUUAAUUUUAAUGUGUUUCCAGAGACUCUUAUUAAAUAUAAUUUUUAUUGCAUUAUGAUCUGAAAAGGAUCUCAUGGCACCUGUAUCUCUGAGAGUUCAGAUGAUUUCAGCAACUCUUAUUCCUCAAACUGUUGAGAAAGAUUGAGAAACCCUAUGAUAGACCAAUUGUCUGUCUGGAAACGGUUACAAUUCCACUUGAAAGAAGAUUUCCAGAAAUCCCAUGGAAAACACUUACAGUGCUGGGGUUUUAGAAAGACCGAGAGCUAGAGAGAGUACUCCUCUCCAGAGUGGUUACAUGGGAAAUGUUCACUCAGACUGUAGGGAUUGUUACAGCCCCAAAGAACACAACAAUGUUGGUGAUGAUGAGAUGCAAUUGUGUCCGGGUCUCCUUCUUUGUAAUUUCCUUUGACCUCGAAUUGCCCUGACCACCCAGUCAGGGAAAAGUCCAUUGUUCCCUAGAGUGUAUCCCAAGUGAGUGAGCCAGUGUGCAACAGCUCAGGAAAUACCUGAAACAAGAUGUCUAAUCAAGACUUUUGUUGUGCAAGUCUGGAUCAGCUCAAACCCAUCUGGGCACCUUCACCACUAUAAUCCCUUUUCCUCUUCUCCUGUAUGACCCUUAUUUUGUUCUGACUUUUACUGGCAUGAUCCUUUAAAGGUUAUAUAUCCAUGGAGAAAGUACCAGGAAAUGUGAAUUCCAGUUUGCCCAGCAGUUUUGAUCAGAUGCUGUUAGGGGUAAAACUUAUGGUUGGACUGGAUAUAUUUUAGUUGGUAGCCAGGGAUUUAAACUCUAAUUUCCAAUGAAAUACUCACGUCAGAAUGGAAUUUUAUGGUGGUUUAUUUACAAUAGAGUGAAGAUAUUAAGGAAGAAAGAAAGAGAGGAAAAAGAGGGAGAUACCAGGCAGGAGUUUAGAGGUCCCAGUUGGGGGGGGAGGGGAGCAGAGGAUUAAAUCUAGCACGGCUUUCAGCCACAAGGCCUCCAAGAUGAGGGGCCUCCUCAGAGGCUGGUGCCUCCAAAAAGCCCAGGGAAAAGGAGUCCCAAGAGAUGGGCCUCUCCAAAGGCUGGUGCCUCCAGAAAAGCCAAGGAAAGGGGAGUCAGCCUUGCACUCACCACGUGACCGUCUAAGGGAAACAGUCUGAGGUCUCACGCUCGAGCUCCUCCAAGUUAAGUUCCACUUCCUGUGUCUCACAUGUACCAGUGGUGGCUUAAACAUGGAUUUGGACAGCCCAGGGGGGUCAGUCAGUUGUCUCUGAUUUGUCCGUUGCUAGCAUACGUGGGUCAUAGACCUUCCUUCCCCACACUUAAUCCUUAAGCGGGGGUGUAUACAUUCCUGGUGGCUAAGCAGAGUGGAGUAAAUCCAAAAUUCACAAUAGGGAUGUUUUCUCUCAGUAACUCACAUUUCCCACUUUAUCAAACACACUAUCGUUGAGUGAGAGUGUGAAUGUGUAUGUGUGUGUGUGUGUGUGUGUGUGUAAAUCUCUUCUCUCUGGGCUUUUUCAUCAAUCUAUUUUUAAUCAAAAUCAAAGAAUUUUUAUGACUUCUGCUUUAUAGUAUAAUUUGAGGUCUGAAUGUCUUCCAUCACUUCAGCUACACUUCUUUUCAUCAUUUCCCCUGACAUUCUAGAUAUUUUGUUUUUCUAAAUGAAGAUUGUUAUUAUGUAUUGAAAGAAAAAAAACUGGGCACAGAUUGGAGCAGUACUGGCUUUAUUUUUAUUUUUUUAAACUCUUACCUUCCAUCUUAGAAUCAGUACUGUGUAUUGGUUCUAAGGCAAUAGGAACAGUAAGGACUGGGCAAUGGGGGUUAAAUGAUUUGCCCAGGGUCACAUAGCUAGGAACUGUCCGAGUCCAGAUUUGAACCCAGAACCUCUCAUCUCUCUUGGCUUGGCUCAAUCCACUGAGCUGACAUUUCAAAAGGUUUCUAAACAUUGGGGAAUGAUUUGCCUCUUGUGGUUAAACAUUUUGGAAGAUUUCCAUUUAUUUUAUAGGAUCUCAAGUAUCAGAUGUAUGCACAUGAUGACAAAUGCACACAUAUACUAAUCUACAUGAGCAAGCUCUUUUCUAAGGCAUAGAUAGUAUGCCUAAUGUUGGAUUUCCUGUGAAUAGGCAGCAGCUGCUGUGAGAUGCCAGCGGCUGCUGGAGCUCAGCUGAAGGAAACAAAGGGGCUGUUGCUGGUGGUGGUCUGCAGUGGCAGGGAUGGCCAGGAGAGGAAACUCAUCCAAGCUCAGUGUCUCAUACUCAAAGUAUGGCUUUUGAUGAGCCAUGAUGAUGAAUGGUUCAUUGGGUGCCUUGGAGUCACAAGGCGUUAAACAGAGAGAAAGGUCUAUAUCAUAAGUAAAAUGGCGGCCUUUAUAGAACCAACUCCCUCACUUCUCUCAUCAGAAGUGUGAGAAGUGGCCUUGCAAGAGCUGCAAAGGCUCUGGACACCAGACCCUACUGCUUGUGUCCUUCAGUGGGGUGCUUUGCAGCAAGUGGAGGGAGCAAAGGUUUCUUAGGAAAAUGCCCCAUGUAGAAGUGGAAAUUUUGUAUCCUUUGGACUUCAUCUCCCAGAAUUCUCCCCUUGUCCCAAGGUUCCUUUUUCCCUUUCUGUUCAUGUGCGUUCUGUAUGUUAUGUUUUAUAAGCUGUGGGUAAUGCCUCCCUCGUUCUCUUCCACGUGGGAGGCUGGUGAACUCUCUGUGUUUCUCUAGCCUUUUAUUUUCCUUUUGCUUCAAGUUAAAUAUUAAUACCUCUUAUUAAACAUAAUACUUGGAGUAUUGAAUAUUAAUUUUUAAAAUUUGCACCUAAGAGCAGAGUCCUCUACCGGGGGCAGGGGAGUAAAGGGGGAAGACAUGAGUCAAAUACCCUUGUUUGCUCACUAGUGACAGGAAAGAUUUCAAACUAUCAGUUUUCAAUAAGGAAUUCAUAAUGGAUUAACUGAGGACAUUAAUAAUGGACGUUUCCCUAUGUGUGACUCGAAUAGUUGGCUGAGGGUUCAGAGAAGGAGGUCAGGUUUCUGAGAGGACUUACAGUUGAGGCCAGAAGAGCAGAGCAGAGAAAAGAACAUCACCAGAAAGAACAACUUAAGUAGGAUCUCCAUUCAAAGUUCUAAAAUUUCAAUAGCUUCCUAUUUCAAAAAGGUCACCCAUAGAGGCACCACCAUCACUUUCCUUGACAGAGAGCAACCUUGACAAAGAGAUACAGGUGCAGCUGCUCAGGAAUGGCUCUUUCUGUUAGGAAUCACAAUUCGGGAAGAAACUGACUGUGCAUAGAGUUGUCAACAAGACAAAAGCAGUAGAAAAUUCAAAUUAAAGAGAAAUGUUCAAGUCAACACAGAAAGAAAACCCAAAAGAAAAUAAACAAGUUAAAUGUUCACAGCUUUUAAAUCAUCAUUCAUGUUUCCACCUUGUGAGGAGAAGAGACUAGAAGAAUCUGUUCUUUACACACAGACAGGGGACAAUGAAAGAUGUUAGAAGGCAGUUCAUAGGUAUCUUAAUGAGGGGGGAAGCCCUCUUAGGAAAGAGCAAUUAAAAGUAGAGUGAAGUAUAGAAAAAGGCUGUGUUACUGAAGGUGAAAUGGAGCAUCAGUGAAGACUAACAAAACUUAGAGUUUGCUAUACAAGAAGGAAAAGACAAAUGAGCUCUUGUUUGAUUUCAGACAGAGUAGAGAGAGGCAACAGGAUGACAAUGUGGCAGUCAGGCUCAGAUUUGACUUAAAUGACUUUGUAUGAGAAACUGAGUCAGGAAGACUUACCUCCUUAUUCCCAAAUAGUAGCACCCCACCCCCACCCCAGCACCACUCUCCACCUCCUUCUCUUACCCACACACAGGUAUUUGCCUGUAAUAGGAAAUGAUAAGAGCUGUCAGAGGUCAUUCAUUCUGAUGGACGGUUUCACAACCUCAGAAGAGAUCUGACAUUCAUGCUUGAAAAAAAGACCUUACAAAUAUUUCAAAAUAAGUCCACAGAAUUCAGUCUCAAAUAGCAACUAAAGCUUAUUGGUAAAUGUAGCCUGAGUAUCAAUGAUAAUGUGGGCAGACACCAUAGAUUUUAUUGUGGUUCUUUUGCAAGUGCUAGAAAUCAUAUUAUGUGCCCUUCAUUCUAACCUAAGAAGUGUAAGAAAAAGAAAUAGUCAAGGUAAGAGAGAUAGGAAUUACAAGUAGAGGUUUGAGGCACAGUAGUAGCAGUAUACAUGCAGUUAGUGGGUAGGACAAAGGUGAAAUAAAAGAGAAUUUAAUAAAGUGGUGACCCAAAAUAGUCUAAAAGGAAACCAAAGAUUUAAAAAGUAUUACAUUGAGAGUGGGAGACAUCCUAGUUCCUCUACUAGCAGUAAUGUGACAAUCCAGGACAAUUCAGAGGGACUAUUGAGAAAGAACACUAUCCACAUCCCGAGAAAGAACUGUGGGAGUGGAAACACAGAAGAGAAACAACUGCUUGAUCACAUGGGUCGAUGGGGAUAUGAUUGGGGAUGUAGACUCUAAAUGAACAUCCCAGUGCAACUAUCAAUAAUAUGGAAAUAGGUCAUGAUCAAUGACACAUGUAAAACCCAAUGGAACUGUGCAU
Monodelphis domestica (gray short-tailed opossum) is the source of this 21190-nucleotide long non-coding RNA. RefSeq lists it as uncharacterized. The record is from RefSeq and is a predicted model, not a curated record. NCBI's taxonomy places the organism in Eukaryota, Metazoa, Chordata, Mammalia, Didelphimorphia, Didelphidae.